UCAGAUAUUUCGUGACUGCAUCUGCAGCGGAUAUAACAUACCGGGCUCUGUGUGGUCAGAAAUGAGCAAAACGACUACAUAGCUGCCUGCUCCGGUGUGUCUCAUUGAAG
This is a long non-coding RNA of Nothoprocta perdicaria, 110 nucleotides long. RefSeq lists it as uncharacterized. NCBI's taxonomy places the organism in Eukaryota, Metazoa, Chordata, Aves, Tinamiformes, Tinamidae. The transcript has 2 exons. The record is from RefSeq and is a predicted model, not a curated record.